UACGGAGGGUGCGAGCGUUGUCCGGAAUCACUGGGCGUAAAGCGCGCGCAGGCGGUCGCGUAAGUCUGCUGUGAAAUCUCCCUGGCUCAACCGGGAGGGGGCGGCGGAGACUGCGGGACUGGAGGGACCUAGAGGCCGGUGGAAUUCCCGGUGUAGUGGUGAAAUGCGUAGAGAUCGGGAGGAACACCUGUGGCGAAGGCGGCCGGCUGGGGGAUGCCCUGACGCUGAGGGCGGCGAAAAGCGUGGGGGAGCGAACCGGG
RNAcentral lists this ribosomal RNA (260 nucleotides) under uncultured bacterium. RNAcentral describes it as "partial 16S ribosomal RNA". It matches the Rfam family "Bacterial small subunit ribosomal RNA", at positions 524 to 777 of the family's 1533-position model. The record is from RNAcentral.